RNAcentral lists this ribosomal RNA (424 nucleotides) under uncultured bacterium. Its description in RNAcentral is "partial 16S ribosomal RNA". It matches the Rfam family "Bacterial small subunit ribosomal RNA", at positions 360 to 776 of the family's 1533-position model. The record is from RNAcentral.
AAUUUUGGACAAUGGGUGAAACCCUGAUCUAGCCAUCCCGCGUGUGCGAAGAAGGCCUUCUGGUUGUAAAGCACUUUUGUCAGGGAAGAAAAGGUUCUGGCUAAUACCCGGAACUGAUGACGGUACCUGAAGAAUAAGCAUCGGCUAACUCCGUGCCAGCAGCCGCGGUAAUACGUAGGUCGCAAUCUUUAACCGGAAUUACUGGGCCUAAAGCGUGCGCAAGCGGUUCGGAAAGAAGGAUGUGAAAUCCCAGGGCUCAACCUUGGAACUGCAUUCUUAACUACCGAACUAGAGUAUGUCAGAGGGGGGUAGAAUUCCGCGUGUAGCAGUGAAAUGCGUAGAUAUGCGGAGGAAUACCGAUGGCGAAGGCAGCCCCCUGGGAUAAUACUGACGCUCAUGCACGAAAGCGUGGGUAGCAAACAGG